Molecule: unclassified non-coding RNA, 253 nt
Filed under: uncultured Alphaproteobacteria bacterium
Lineage: Bacteria; Pseudomonadati; Pseudomonadota; Alphaproteobacteria
Description: contains 16S-23S intergenic spacer region
Rfam family: Bacterial small subunit ribosomal RNA
Source: RNAcentral
UACGGAGGGGGCUAGCGUUGUUCGGAAUUACUGGGCGUAAAGGGCGUGUAGGCGGUCGAACGAGUUAGGCGUGAAAGGCCUGGGCUCAACCCAGGAACUGCGCUUAAUACUGGUCGACUCGAGAACGGGAGAGGUGAGUGGAAUUCCCAGUGUAGAGGUGAAAUUCGUAGAUAUUGGGAAGAACACCAGUGGCGAAGGCGGCUCACUGGCCCGAUUCUGACGCUGAGACGCGAAAGCGUGGGGAGCAAACAGG